RNAcentral lists this ribosomal RNA (496 nucleotides) under uncultured bacterium. RNAcentral describes it as "partial 16S ribosomal RNA". It matches the Rfam family "Bacterial small subunit ribosomal RNA", at positions 28 to 506 of the family's 1533-position model. The record is from RNAcentral.
GACGAACGCUGGCGGCGUGCCUAAUACAUGCAAGUUGAGCGCUGAAGGUUGGUACUUGUACCAACUUGAUGAGCAGCGAACGGGUGAGUAACGCGUGGGGAAUCUGCCUUUGAGCGGGGGACAACAUUUGGAAACGAAUGCUAAUACCGCAUAAAAACUUUAAACACAAGUUUUAAGUUUGAAAGAUGCAAUUGCAUCACUCAAAGAUGAUCCCGCGUUGUAUUAGCUAGUUGGUGAGGUAAAGGCUCACCAAGGCGAUGAUACAUAGCCGACCUGAGAGGGUGAUCGGCGACAUUGGGACUGAGACACGGCCCAAACUCCUGCGGGAGGCAGCAGUAGGGUAUCUUCGGCAAUGGACGGAAGUCUGACCGAGCAGCGCCGCGUGAGUGAAGAAGGUUUUCAGAUCGUAAAACUCUGUUGGUAGAGAAGAACGUUGGUGGGAGUGGAAAGAUCAUCAAGUGACGGUAACUACCCAGAAAGGGACGGCUAACUACGU